AAGCUUGCUUUCUUUGCUGACGAGUGGCGGACGGGUGAGUAAUGCUUGGGGAUCUGGCUUAUGGAGGGGGAUAACGACGGGAAACUGUCGCUAAUACCGCGUAAUGUCUAAGGACUAGAGGGUGGGACUUUCGGGCCACCUGCCAUAAGAUGAGCCCAAGUGGGAUUAGGUAGUUGGUGGGGUAAAGGCCUACCAAGCCGACGAUCUCUAGCUGGUCUGAGAGGAUGACCAGCCACACUGGAACUGAGACACGGUCCAGACUCCUACGGGAGGCAGCAGUGGGGAAUAUUGCACAAUGGGGGGAACCCUGAUGCAGCCAUGCCGCGUGAAUGAAGAAGGCCUUCGGGUUGUAAAGUUCUUUCGGUGAUGAGGAAGGGUGAUGUUUUAAUAGAGCAUUACAUUGACGUUAGUCACAGAAGAAGCACCGGCUAACUCCGUGCCAGCAGCCGCGGUAAUACGGAGGGUGCGAGCGUUAAUCGGAAUGACUGGGCGUAAAGGGCACGCAGGCGGUGACUUAAGUGAGAUGUGAAAGCCCCGAGCUUAACUUGGGAAUUGCAUUUCAUACUGGGUGGCUAGAGUAUUUUAGGGAGGGGUAGAAUUCCACGUGUAGCGGUGAAAUGCGUAGAGAUGUGGAGGAAUACCGAAGGCGAAGGCAGCCCCUUGGGAAAAUACUGACGCUCAUGUGCGAAAGCGUGGGGAGCAAACAGGAUUAGAUACCCUGGUAGUCCACGCUGUAAACGCUGUCGAUUUGGGGAUUGGGCUUAGAGCUUGGUGCCCGUAGCUAACGUGAUAAAUCGACCGCCUGGGGAGUACGGCCGCAAGGUUAAAACUCAAAUGAAUUGACGGGGGCCCGCACAAGCGGUGGAGCAUGUGGUUUAAUUCGAUGCAACGCGAAGAACCUUACCUACUCUUGACAUCCUAAGAAG
This 926-nucleotide ribosomal RNA is filed under the name Glaesserella parasuis. RNAcentral's name for it is "bacterial SSU rRNA". It matches the Rfam family "Bacterial small subunit ribosomal RNA", at positions 76 to 996 of the family's 1533-position model. The record is from RNAcentral. Lineage: Bacteria; Pseudomonadati; Pseudomonadota; Gammaproteobacteria; Pasteurellales; Pasteurellaceae.